UACAGAGGUGGCAAGCGUUGUUCGGAAUUACUGGGCGUAAAGGGCGCGUAGGCGGCACGGCAAGUCGGGAGUGAAAGCCCGGGGCUCAACCCCGGAACGUCUUUCGAAACUGCCGAGCUAGAGUGCGGAAGGGGCAACUGGAAUUCCCAGUGUAGCGGUGAAAUGCGUAGAUAUUGGGAAGAACACCUGAGGCGAAGGCGGGUUGCUGGGCCGACACUGACGCUGAGGCGCGAAAGCGUGGGGAGCGAACAGG
Molecule: ribosomal RNA, 253 nt
Filed under: uncultured bacterium
Lineage: Bacteria
Description: partial 16S ribosomal RNA
Rfam family: Bacterial small subunit ribosomal RNA
Source: RNAcentral